This 52-nucleotide non-coding RNA is filed under the name unclassified sequences. The record is from Rfam.
AUCGUUCAACUCGAAAGAGUCGGAAGUAGGCGUAAAGCCGAAGGAACGCAUG